Molecule: unclassified non-coding RNA, 337 nt
Filed under: soil metagenome
Description: partial contains 5.8S ribosomal RNA, internal transcribed spacer 2, and large subunit ribosomal RNA
Rfam family: 5.8S ribosomal RNA (bases 1-120)
Source: RNAcentral
GAUGAAGAACGCAGCGAAAUGCGAUAAGUAGUGUGAAUUGCAGAAUUCAGUGAAUCAUCGAAUCUUUGAACGCACAUUGCGCCCCUUGGUAUUCCAUGGGGCAUGCCUGUUCGAGCGUCAUUUGUACCUUCAAGCUCUGCUUGGUGUUGGGUGUUUGUCUCGCCUCUGCGUGUAGACUCGCCUCAAAACAAUUGGCAGCCGGCGUAUUGAUUUCGGAGCGCAGUACAUCUCGCGCUUUGCACUCAUAACGACGACGUCCAAAAGUACAUUUUUACACUCUUGACCUCGAAUCAGGUAGGAAUACCCGCUGAACUUAAGCAUAUCAAUAAGCGGAGGA